RNAcentral lists this ribosomal RNA (1812 nucleotides) under Triticum aestivum (bread wheat). RNAcentral's name for it is "partial small subunit ribosomal RNA". Lineage: Eukaryota; Viridiplantae; Streptophyta; Magnoliopsida; Poales; Poaceae. The record is from RNAcentral.
AUGGCGUUUCCGUCCGCUGAUGGAGGCGCUGAUGCCGGAUCCGGCGAGGGCGUGUCGGGCGCUGACUCCGGUGGCCGCGGCCAUGCUCGAGGGCACCCCGGCGAGGGCGCCGACUCCGGUGGCCGCGCCCAUGCUCGAGGGCACCACCCAGGCGAGGGCGCUCGCGGCGCUGACUCCGGUGGCCGCGGCCAUGCCCCAGGACACACCGGCGAGGGAUUCUCUUUGGCCAGGCCGUGGGAAGCACCAGGCCUGAAUCCUGGUCAACCUCUUCGAUGGUUCAGCAGGCUGGCUGUGGCCAUCGGGUUCAGGCCCGACCCCAACAAAAGGCGGGGCUACACCCCAACGCCAACUCAAAUCGCGCCUGUUGACCUCUCACCGACCCAGAUUGAAAGGGCUGAGCUGUAUCAAUUUAAGAAACAUCUUGAUGAUCUUUUGAAAGAGGCGAGGCUUAGGUUGAAGACUCCUGAUGAUUUUGAAACUAAUAUUUCUGUGACCCUCCUGAAGCCCUGGCAGGGUGUUCUUUUGAAGUCAGCGAUUGCCUUUGCGUCUAUGAAACGACCGGGUGCAAUUCAAAUGCGUUGGAAACUUGGCGUCACUGCUGUUGAUGUAGCGAUGGAGAAUCAAUCUAUAAAUAGCAAAUAUGUUAGAUUGCUUAACGAGUUCACUUGGAAUAUGAAAGCUUUGGUUGAUCACGCUCGAGAAAAUGAUGAAAUUUCUGCUGAAUCCGCUAGUAAGUUGCUAAAUGAGCUGAGGAAGUUUCACACAAAUGUUUCAAUGGUGUUGGCUCGUGAUCGCAGCCGUUUUUUGGAGGCAUUGCAACAGCUACCUGAAAAUGUCUCCUCUCUUGCUGAUAAGCUCUUAUCUUUUGGCAGUGUGUUCAGAGUUUUUAAUAGCUUUGCCGAUGUGGCAUAUCGUGUAUCCCAGAUGGGUGGUGACCCUGCACUUUUUGAUGAUAUAGGCAAGGAAGUUACUGAUAUGACAAGAGACCCGUUUUUGCUAAAUAGUGUAUAUUUGGGUGCAAUGCAGAACUAUUCUGUAACUUUUGGCUCUGAAAUUGUUGGAAUGAACCUGCUCAAGAAAAUGAUGUUGGGUGUGAGAAAUUUUGAUUUAUCAAUAUUCUUGUCCGCAUCGGAAGUUACACCUGGUCAGGCUGCUGAACCAAAUGGCGCUGAUGUUAAUCUGUAUAAUCAGCCGAAUUAUGCUGAGUUGCAUGCGGAGAAACUGUUUGCUGAUAACAUCAAAGGAAUGCUUCACAUACCUUACUCCCUUAGAAAUUCUAAACUUGAGUUGCAAUGUCUGCAACCAUUCCAAUCUAUUUCUGGUUGUAUUGGGCUGAACAGGGACAGAGAGCCAUCCUUUUCCAUAUCUAGUUUUUGUGGUGUUAAGGAUCUGAAAUUAUAUAAUGUUGAAAGCCUUGGGUUUGGUGGAAAGCUUCACAUAAAUGAUGGGGAUUCAUGGAUCAAUUGUUCUGCUGGUGUCUCUGUCUCAUCCCUGUGGUGCAACCUUGGCCUUACAUUUAAGCAACCAGGCCUCUUCACAGCAACUUGUUCCAGCCGUAUGGGCAAUCGUAGCACUGUUCUUGGGGGUUAUAUCAGUUAUAGCUAUGAGGAGGACCGGACCAAGUUUGCUGCUGGAGUUCAGCAUUCAGUUGAUAGCUCUAUGUAUCUGAAGAGCUGCAUUGGAAGUGACAAAGUCCUCAGAAGUUUUGUCUCCAAGAGCUUCGGCAAAUCCCGUCUCAAUCUUGUAGCUGAAGUUAAUUUCAAGGACUUCCGGAAGCUUUCCCGUGCUGGGAUUUAUUUUUCAUUCCCUUGA